UUGCAAAUAUUCUUGCUGUUCUAAUUUUAUAGUUACCAGGGCAUGCUAAACCUUCAUUGUAAGAGUGCUCUGCAUGUGACGCAAAACUAGUUUUUUGCCUUGCUAGAUCUGGUCUUAUAAAUGCUGUUUAUAAAU
Small nucleolar RNA from Suncus etruscus (white-toothed pygmy shrew), 135 nucleotides. RefSeq annotates it as small nucleolar RNA SNORA72. The record is from RefSeq and is a predicted model, not a curated record. The transcript has a single exon. NCBI's taxonomy places the organism in Eukaryota, Metazoa, Chordata, Mammalia, Eulipotyphla, Soricidae.